GACGAACGCUGGCGGCGUGCUUAACACAUGCAAGUCGAGCGGUAAGGCCCUUUCGGGGGUACACGAGCGGCGAACGGGUGAGUAACACGUGGGUGACCUGCCCUCAGCUCUGGGAUAAGCCUGGGAAACCGGGUCUAAUACUGGAUAUGACUCCAUGACGCAUGUUGUGGGGUGGAAAGCCUUGUGCGGCUGAGGAUGGGCCCGCGGCCUAUCAGCUUGUUGGUGGGGUGAGGCCUACCAAGGCGACGACGGGUAGCCGGCCUGAGAGGGCGACCGGCCACACUGGGACUGAGACACGGCCCAGACUCCUACGGGAGGCAGCAGUGGGGAAUCUUGCGCAACGGGCGAAAGCCUGACGCAGCGACGCCGCGUGA
Molecule: ribosomal RNA, 374 nt
Filed under: uncultured bacterium
Lineage: Bacteria
Description: bacterial SSU rRNA
Rfam family: Bacterial small subunit ribosomal RNA
Source: RNAcentral